Zeugodacus cucurbitae (melon fly) is the source of this 720-nucleotide long non-coding RNA. RefSeq lists it as uncharacterized. The record is from RefSeq and is a predicted model, not a curated record. Lineage: Eukaryota; Metazoa; Arthropoda; Insecta; Diptera; Tephritidae. The transcript is spliced from 3 exons.
CUGCUCUAGUUAGGCGAUAAAAUUGGAAGACAUAUAUUGUCAUCCCCAAAUAGUCAGUUAAUAUUUGGUUACAUUUUCAAAAGAAAGAAGAAAAAUCAAAAGUACAAAAAAAAUAAAUUCGUGGGGUGAGAGGGAGGAAGCGCUCCUAAUUAAUUGAGGCAAAAUAAAGUUUGUGCUCUUCUCGGGCCCAAAAAAAAUAGCCACAUUUUAGAAGAAAUUGCAGUGAAGUUGCAACAACAAGAUGUGCCAUUUACAGCUGCCGAAAUUAAAACUAAAAUGCCGCAAAGAUUUAGGAAGUAGAAAACUGCAGUCGGUUCAACUGGCGGUUCCCGUUUUUAUAGUUCUACAAACUCCGAACCAAUGCAAAUUUCGAUGGAAACGGUUGCGACACCUUCAUUUGUUGAUGAAUCUCCAUUACCAUAACCGGUUUGCGGAGCUUCGCCCUCAGAGAUCAUGACCGAGCCUUCAUCAUUGCCCAUGUCAUCACCUGAGCCCAGUGAAUCUGUAAAUAUAAAAAGAAAUCAUUCAGAGCUUAAUGUUAAAAAAAUUUGAAAAAAUUAAAAGCAGCUUGAAAACAAAUCAGGAUUUCAACGAAACUAGUCAAAAAGAAAAACAAACAGAAAAAUUAGUUGAAAACGACAAUAAAAAAACACAAAUGAUAGAACAAAAUGUAAAAAACACAAAACAAAUUAACAAAUUAGUGCUUGACUUUCUCACAAA